This 492-nucleotide ribosomal RNA is filed under the name uncultured bacterium. RNAcentral describes it as "partial 16S ribosomal RNA". It matches the Rfam family "Bacterial small subunit ribosomal RNA", at positions 29 to 507 of the family's 1533-position model. The record is from RNAcentral.
AAUGAACGCUGGCGGUAGGCCUAACACAUGCAAGUCGAACGGCAGCACAGUAAGAGCUUGCUCUUACGGGUGGCGAGUGGCGGACGGGUGAGGAAUACAUCGGAAUCUACUUUUUCGUGGGGGAUAACGUAGGGAAACUUACGCUAAUACCGCAUACGACCUACGGGUGAAAGCAGGGGAUCUUCGGACCUUGCGCGAUUGAAUGAGCCGAUGUCGGAUUAGCUAGUUGGCGGGGUAAAGGCCCACCAAGGCGACGAUCCGUAGCUGGUCUGAGAGGAUGAUCAGCCACACUGGAACUGAGACACGGUCCAGACUCCUACGGGAGGCAGCAGUGGGGAAUAUUGGACAAUGGGCGCAAGCCUGAUCCAGCCAUACCGCGUGGGUGAAGAAGGCCUUCGGGUUAUAAAGCCCUUUUGUUGGGAAAGAAAAGCAGCAGGUUAAUACCCCGCUGUUCUGACGGUACCCAAAGAAUAAGCACCGGCUAACUUCGUG